This 440-nucleotide ribosomal RNA is filed under the name uncultured bacterium. Its description in RNAcentral is "partial 16S ribosomal RNA". It matches the Rfam family "Bacterial small subunit ribosomal RNA", at positions 338 to 795 of the family's 1533-position model. The record is from RNAcentral.
CCUACGGGAGGCAGCAGUGGGGAAUAUUGCACAAUGGGGGAAACCCUGAUGCAGCGACGCCGCGUGAAGGAAGAAGUAUUUCGGUAUGUAAACUUCUAUCAGCAGGGAAGAAAAUGACGGUACCUGACUAAGAAGCCCCGGCUAACUACGUGCCAGCCGCCGCGGUAAUACGUAGGGGGCAAGCGUUAUCCGGAUUUACUGGGUGUAAAGGGAGCGUAGGCGGUUUAGCAAGUCAGAAGUGAAAGCCCGGGGCUCAACCCUGUACAUGCUUUUGGAACUGUGGUGCUAGAGUGCAGGAGAGGUAAGUGGAAUUCCUAGUGUAGCGGUGAAAUGCGUAGAUAUUAGGAGGAACACCAGUGGCGAAGGCGGCUUACUGGACUGUAACUGACGUUGAGGCUCGAAAGCGUGGGGAGCAAACAGGAUUAGAUACCCCAGUAGUC